AAUUCCAAGCAGGCUGGGGCUUGUUGGGGAUUACCGGCACUGCCCGCCCAGGAGACGCGGAUGCGGCCUCUACAGGUUGGGAAACCCGGUUCUGGGCAGUGCAGUUUGGGAUUGCAAAAUGCUGCAAGUUCCAGAAUUUCUAUCUAGGUGGGGCAUGGGGACUGCGGUACUGGGGAAAAGGAACUGCUAUUGAGAUUUUAUAUUUGGGGCGCUUUGAGAAGCGGCUGACACCUUGCAAGCCACCGGGUUGUGCAGCUCCUUGCUCUCAGGAGCUGGGGGACGGGGGUCCUGGUGCCUGACAGCUUGGAGGCCUGGAGCUGGAGGAAUUUCUCUUCUCUAUCUUCCCACUAUCAGUGCUGAUUUUUUCAGCCUGCGUGCAGAUUUGGUAGAACUGGUUACUGAAGAGAUAGAAGGGGAUAGAAGCCCUGAGCCAGGCCUCACAGCUGCCAACCCUUGGAGAGGGGUGAUAAAUCCACUGGGAAUUUUCAUUCCAAAACAUGGCUUCAGGCUCACUUUGGAUCUCAAAAUCAAUCUCUCCACUGGGACAUCCCCAGUGUGUGGGAGAUAAGUACCCUACCCCCCUGAAGACCAGAAAUAGCCUUGAGGACAGAAGGGAGACUCCCAGAGAACACUAAAUGCAGACUUGCUCCUCCAUAAGACCUAAACCUGUCUCCCAGUCCCCACCCUUAGAGAAGGCUUUUAGAGACCAGAAUCUGCACUGCACUUUGUUUUUCUUGUGGAAUUUCCUUCAGGAAGCCCAGACUCUGAGCUGAGAAGACAAAAGCUCCAGUUCCAUCCUUGUGGAAAGUCUUGGGACUGAGGGGCAAGAAGAGCCCCAGAGAUGGGUUGCUCUGUGCCUUCCAGUUACUGAGAACCUGGUCUUCAGAACAGAAGUCAAUGCACUGUUAGCUUCAACGCUAUUUUAGGGGUGGGAAGAGGAGAUCUUGCUGAGAACUGAGGAUGCUGGAGUCAGGGAAGCAGAGAAGGUUGGCGGGGGUGACAGAUAAUGCCUGGCACAAUGAUACCUUGGGAUUUGAGAUGAUCAAGCUGAGAUCCAGCUCCCUCUUGUGUGUGGACUCCUGCGAGAGCAGAGCAACUGCCCCCACCCCUGCCCCCACCUGUCUGCCUUGCUCCUUGGACCUGUGUCUAAGACCAGAGGCAUCUCACCCAGCCCAGUUUCAGAAGGAGGAUGCUAAUACAUCUCAUGGUCAUCUUUUCCAUCCUUUCUUAUUAUCUAACUUCCCUCCUUCAGUUUGUAACAUAAAACCUUUUUUCUCUCUACUUUUGAAAAUUUUAAAGGGGAAUCCUUUUCAUUUGGAUGGGGUCGGGGGAUGGGGAUAAGGGGGGAGAAAAGCAUAAUUUUAUUUUCACUCACCCUAACUGAAAUUUAGUGUUUUCUGUGAUUAUGAAUGUUGGCAACAAUUCAUGAUAGUAUUAGCAAAAAGUUUCCUACUACACUACAGUUAUUUCUGGUACCUUGAAAAUCUAUUGGCCGGGCACGGUGGCUCAUGCCUGUAAUUCCAGCACUUUGGGAGGCCGAGAUGGGAGGAUCAACUGAGGUCAGGAGUUGGAGACCGUUCUGGCUAACAUGGUGAAAUCCCGUUUCUGUUAAAAAUACAAAAAAUUAGCCGGGCAUAGUGAUGCACGCUUGUAAGCAUCUCAAAAAAAAAGGAAAUAAUUCAUCUGUAUUUUGGCAUUAAGCUAAUAAUUAGAUUUACCACUAGAUCUUACUAUUUAAUGUAUUAAUAAAGAAUGACAUAUUACUA
RNAcentral lists this long non-coding RNA (1766 nucleotides) under Homo sapiens (human). RNAcentral's name for it is "HSALNT0389226". The record is from RNAcentral. Lineage: Eukaryota; Metazoa; Chordata; Mammalia; Primates; Hominidae.